RNAcentral lists this ribosomal RNA (373 nucleotides) under Heleophryne purcelli (Cape ghost frog). Its description in RNAcentral is "partial 16S ribosomal RNA". The record is from RNAcentral. Lineage: Eukaryota; Metazoa; Chordata; Amphibia; Anura; Heleophrynidae.
CAAAGCUUCACCAUCUACACCCAAUAAUCCCACAACAAUCUCAAAACCCUCACCCACUAUCAAGCAAUUCUAUAUCCCUAUAGAACAUCUUAUGCUAGAACUAGUAACAAGAAGAUGAACUUCUCCACAAUACACGUGUAAAUCAGAUUGGACCACCCCCUGAUAAUUAACGCCAUGAACUUAGGGUAAUAACGACACAAGAGAAACCUACCCACCCCCCCCGUUAACCUAACACAAGAGCAUUUCUGGAAAGAUCUAAAGGAGAGGAAGGAACUCGGCAAAUUUUGGCCCCGCCUGUUUACCAAAAACAUCGCCUCUUGAAUACAUAAGAGGUCCAGCCUGCCCAGUGACUUUGUUCAACGGCCGCGGNNUU